This 515-nucleotide ribosomal RNA is filed under the name uncultured bacterium. RNAcentral describes it as "bacterial SSU rRNA". It matches the Rfam family "Bacterial small subunit ribosomal RNA", at positions 501 to 1017 of the family's 1533-position model. The record is from RNAcentral.
CUACGUGCCAGCAGCCGCGGUAAUACGGAGGGUGCGAGCGUUAAUCGGAAUAACUGGGCGUAAAGGGCACGCAGGCGGUGACUUAAGUGAGGUGUGAAAGCCCCGGGCUUAACCUGGGAAUUGCAUUUCAUACUGGGUCGCUAGAGUACUUUAGGGAGGGGUAGAAUUCCACGUGUAGCGGUGAAAUGCGUAGAGAUGUGGAGGAAUACCGAAGGCGAAGGCAGCCCCUUGGGAAUGUACUGACGCUCAUGUGCGAAAGCGUGGGGAGCAAACAGGAUUAGAUACCCUGGUAGUCCACGCUGUAAACGAUGUCGAUUUGGGGGUUGAGCUUUGAGCUUGGCGCCCGUAGCUAACGUGAUAAAUCGACCGCCUGGGGAGUACGGCCGCAAGGUUAAAACUCAAAUGAAUUGACGGGGGCCCGCACAAGCGGUGGAGCAUGUGGUUUAAUUCGAUGCAACGCGAAGAACCUUACCUACUCUUGACAUCCAUGGAAUCCUGUAGAGAUACGGGAGUGC